RNAcentral lists this ribosomal RNA (462 nucleotides) under uncultured bacterium. RNAcentral's name for it is "partial 16S ribosomal RNA". It matches the Rfam family "Bacterial small subunit ribosomal RNA", at positions 339 to 795 of the family's 1533-position model. The record is from RNAcentral.
CUACGGGGCGCUGCAGACGAGAAUCUUCCGCAAUGGACGAAAGUCUGACGGAGCGACGCCGCGUGCGGGAUGAAGGCCUUCGGGUUGUAAACCGCUGUCAGUGGGGAGGAAAUGCGCCAGGGUUCUCCCUGGUGUUUGACCGAUCCGCAGAGGAAGCGCAGGCUAAGUUCGUGCCAGCAGCCGGCGGUAACACGAACUGCGCGAACGUUAUUCGGAAUCACUGGGCUUAAAGAGUUCGUAGGCGGCCUUUCAAGUCGGGUGUGAAAUCCCUCGGCUCAACCGAGGAAUUGCGCCUGAUACUGUUGGGCUAGAGGGGGAUAGGGGUGAGCGGAACUGAUGGUGGAGCGGUGAAAUGCGUUGAUAUCAUCAGGAACACCGGUGGCGAAGGCGGCUCACUGGAUCUCUUCUGACGCUGAGGAACGAAAGCUAGGGGAGCGAACGGGAUUAGAUACCCGGGUAGUC